AUCAUGAUGCCAAAGGUAAGCCGGCAUCGGGUACCUUGAGCAUUGAGAGUUUUUAGAAACGAAAAAUGCUGGUGAUUGUUUUAUUAGCAAUGCUAUUAGCGUCGCUGAAGUCUUACGGACAGAGGCUGCUGCAGUGCUAAAAGUGCUGUCUGCGCCUCGGAUACAUCUAGUGGAGACGUUGACUAUCUUAUUAAUAACAAAAAUAGCGUCG
This 211-nucleotide unclassified non-coding RNA is filed under the name Hevea brasiliensis (rubber tree). The record is from RNAcentral. Lineage: Eukaryota; Viridiplantae; Streptophyta; Magnoliopsida; Malpighiales; Euphorbiaceae.